GACGAACCGAGCGAACGUUGUUCGGAAUCACUGGGCUUAAAGGGCGCGUAGGCGGGCUGCCAAGUCCGGGGUGAAAUCCUCCGGCUUAACCGGAGAAUGGUCUCGGAUACUGGCGGCCUGGAGGGAGGUAGGGGCGUGCGGAACUGUGGGUGGAGCGGUGAAAUGCGUUGAGAUCCACAGGAACUCCGGUGGCGAAGGCGGCACGCUGGACCUUUUCUGACGCUGAGGCGCGAAAGCCAGGGGAGCGAACGGG
This 253-nucleotide ribosomal RNA is filed under the name uncultured bacterium. Its description in RNAcentral is "partial 16S ribosomal RNA". It matches the Rfam family "Bacterial small subunit ribosomal RNA", at positions 524 to 776 of the family's 1533-position model. The record is from RNAcentral.